CCUACGGGUGGCAGCAGUGGGGGAUAUUACACAAUGGGGGAAACCCUGAUGCAGCGACGCAGCGUGGACGAAGACGUAUUUCGGUAUGUAAAGCCCUAUCAGCAGGGAAGAAGAAAUGACGGUACCUGAGUAAGAAGCACCGGAUAAAUACGUGCCAGCAGCCGCGGUAAUAGGUAGGGUGCAAGCGUUAUCCGGAUUUACUGGGUGUAAAGGGAGCGCAGGCGGCACGGCAAGCCUGAUGUGAAAGCCCGCGGCCCAACCGCGGGACUGCAUUGGGAACUAGCGGGCUGGAGUGCCGGAGAGGUAGGCGGAAUGCCUGGUGUAGCGGUGAAAUGCGUAGAUAUUAGGAGGAACACCAGUGGCGAAGGCGGCCUACUGGACGGUGACUGACGCUGAGGCUCGAAAGCGUGGGUAGCAAACAGGAUUAGAUACCCGGGUAGUC
Molecule: ribosomal RNA, 442 nt
Filed under: uncultured bacterium
Lineage: Bacteria
Description: partial 16S ribosomal RNA
Rfam family: Bacterial small subunit ribosomal RNA
Source: RNAcentral